UGGUGCGGUCAUACCAGGGCUACUACACCGGAUCCCAUCAGAACUCCGCAGUUAAGCGCCCUUGGGCCGGAUCAGUACUGGGAUGGGUGACCUGGGAUGGGUGACCUCCCGGGAAGUCCCGGUGCUGCACCCUC
RNAcentral lists this ribosomal RNA (134 nucleotides) under Anthoceros agrestis. Lineage: Eukaryota; Viridiplantae; Streptophyta; Anthocerotopsida; Anthocerotales; Anthocerotaceae. The record is from RNAcentral.